RNAcentral lists this ribosomal RNA (445 nucleotides) under uncultured bacterium. Its description in RNAcentral is "partial 16S ribosomal RNA". It matches the Rfam family "Bacterial small subunit ribosomal RNA", at positions 354 to 796 of the family's 1533-position model. The record is from RNAcentral.
GUGAGGAAUAUUGGUCAAUGGACGGAAGUCUGAACCAGCCAUGCCGCGUGAAGGAUGAAGGCGUUCUGCGUUGUAAACUUCUUUUAUCAGGGAAGACACCCCGUGUUUCUACGCGGGCCGACGGUACCUGAUGAAUAAGCACCGGCUAACUCCGUGCCAGCAGCCGCGGUAAUACGGAGGGUGCAAGCGUUAUCCGGAUUCACUGGGUUUAAAGGGUGUGUAGGCGGGCUAUUAAGUCAGUGGUGAAAUCUCUGGGCUCAACCCAGAAACUGCCAUUGAUACUAUUAGUCUUGAAUAUUGUUGAGGUUGGCGGAAUAUGUCAUGUAGCGGUGAAAUGCUUAGAUAUGACAUAGAACACCGAUUGCGAAGGCAGCUAGCUAAACAAUGAUUGACGCUGAGGCACGAAAGCGUGGGGAUCAAACAGGAUUAGAUACCCUGGUAGUCC